ACGGAAGGCAGCAGUGGGGAAUCUUGCGCAAUGGGCGAAAGCCUGACGCAGCAACGCCGCGUGCGGGAUGACGGCCUUCGGGUUGUAAACCGCUUUCAGCAGGGAAGACACUGACGGUACCUGCAGAAGAAGCUCCGGCUAACUACGUGCCAGCAGCCGCGGUAAUACGUAGGGAGCAAGCGUUAUCCGGAUUUAUUGGGCGUAAAGCGCGCGUAGGCGGUUUGUUAAGCAAGGUGUUAAAGCCCAGGGCUCAACCCUGGUUUGCACCUUGAACUGGCAGACUUGAGUUCGGUAGGGGAAAGUGGAAUUCCCAGUGUAGCGGUGAAAUGCGCAGAUAUUGGGAAGAACACCGGUGGCGAAGGCGGCUUUCUGGGCCGUAACUGACGCUGAGGCGCGAAAGCUAGGGGAGCGAACAGGAUUAGAUACCCUGGUA
RNAcentral lists this ribosomal RNA (433 nucleotides) under uncultured Coriobacteriaceae bacterium. Its description in RNAcentral is "bacterial SSU rRNA". It matches the Rfam family "Bacterial small subunit ribosomal RNA", at positions 341 to 792 of the family's 1533-position model. The record is from RNAcentral. Lineage: Bacteria; Bacillati; Actinomycetota; Coriobacteriia; Coriobacteriales; Coriobacteriaceae.